This is a non-coding RNA of Marmota monax (woodchuck), 73 nucleotides long. Lineage: Eukaryota; Metazoa; Chordata; Mammalia; Rodentia; Sciuridae. The record is from the annotation of a RefSeq genome assembly.
GGGGAUAUAGCUCAGUUGGCAGAGCGCUUGCCUAGUAUGCACGAGGCCCUGGGUUCAAUCCCUAGUACCACCA